UACGUAGGCAGCGAGCGUUGUUCGGAAUUACUGGGCGUAAAGCGUGUGUAGGCGGCCACGUAAGUCGGAUGUGAAAGCCCCAGGCUCAACCUGGGAAGUGCACUCGAUACUGCGUGGCUUGAGUAUCGGAGAGGUUGGUGGAAUUCUCGGUGUAGAGGUGAAAUGCGUAGAGAUCGGGAGGAACACCUGUGGCGAAGGCGGCCGGCUGGGGGUGCCCUGACGCUGAGGCGCGAAAGCCAGGGGAGCGAACGGG
This 253-nucleotide ribosomal RNA is filed under the name uncultured bacterium. RNAcentral's name for it is "partial 16S ribosomal RNA". It matches the Rfam family "Bacterial small subunit ribosomal RNA", at positions 524 to 776 of the family's 1533-position model. The record is from RNAcentral.